Molecule: long non-coding RNA, 1396 nt
Organism: Cucumis melo (muskmelon)
Lineage: Eukaryota; Viridiplantae; Streptophyta; Magnoliopsida; Cucurbitales; Cucurbitaceae
Exons: 3
Source: RefSeq, a predicted model, not a curated record
UUAACCUAUCUUUGGCAAUCCCUUCCCCAAAAGAUUUCGAACUCGUAUUCUCCCAACCGCGCACCCUAGCUCCCACCGCCGCACGUCGUCAGCUCCAGCUCUCCCUCCACCACCGUAAGUUCGUGACCCCACCCCUACCGACGUGACUCCGCCCAAAUUGACGUCCGCUCUUCCAUUUCACGCUAAAAGUAAGAUGAAGGGUCCAUCAAUAUCUGCUCGUCUUGACGAUUCUAAGAACUCAACUAAUCAGCAACUCCAUCUCUCGAUCCUCCAGUUCGCACUCGAUAUCUCUCUCUUUCUCUCGAAUGGGUACUUUCUGUAGGAAUUUGUGAAUUUGAGAAUUUGGGAACAAGUGAUUUUUUGUGCAACAUUUCGUUGUAAUGUGGGGUUUAGGCUUCAGGGAUUCCUAGGUUAUUGGUGGUUGCAGGUUCCUUGUUAUCUUGAUGAAGCAUCGGGGUGGGGAUUCGAAAUUUCUGAGCUGAAGAAGCAAUUGGAGUCUGCCUAGUCUAAGGGUAUUUCAGUUAGGGCGUUGGUAGGUAUAAAUCACGGCAAUCCUACUGGGCAUAUUUUCGUACUUCUUUUUUUCUGGCAUUAGGAUACUAUCGCGAGUGUGGAAAACGGGGAGGUUACAUGGAGAUUACUCGAUUUAGUGCUGAUAUGAGGAAACAGAUAUACAAAGUGGCAUAUGUUAAUCAUUGUUCUAAUAUUACCUGCCAGAUUCUUGCUAACCUUGUAAUGAAUCCACCAAAGAUAUUUUCUGAUAUCUGAGCACAACUAAAUAAAAAAUCAUUUGGAUUGUUAUAUGGCAAAACUGUCUGCUAGAAAGGGCUUUAAGUGUAGUGCUUAGGUUUGUAUUAAUUUCUUUUUCCUUGUUUGUUGAAGACUGAUGAUGAUUUGUGCAAGAUGGGGAUCUCAUUCAUAAAUCGUAUUGUGCAAAGAGAGAUGGAAUCCUCUCAUCUUUGGCAAGGCGUGCAAAGGAGCCUACUGUCAGACCCCCAAGUCGAUUGUCCCCCUUGACACCUGCCAAUAUUGACAAGCUUCGAAUAGCUCAACUAUGGUUGGAGCAAUCAACCUCAAAUACUCGUUGUCUUCCUCAUGAGUCGUUGCCUUCUUAUAUGAAACACAACACGAACUGUUCAACAAUGAGAUACCAACAAAAUCAUCAUUCUUCUUUUGCCAACGAGUUGGAAAGUUGAGGCAAAAGAAUCUUAACAAAUUGUUGUUCUAAUGAUGACUAUUUUUUGUCUCAUUUUUCUUAUUCUGCAUCUAGGGGCAAGGGAAAGAAAGAAGUAAAGACUUAAGAAAUUAAACGUGUGCUUUGGUUAUUUAUGAUACAAAUUGUCAUUGAUCUUAUAUUUAUGAACAGACCCAAACCACUUAAGAAUCAUGCUUGUAA